GCCCCUUUACUGGGACUGAUGAGUACAGAGCCCACACCUCCUUCAGUGGGAUGGACAGGGCACAAAGCCCAUGCCCUUUCACUGAGACUGACAGGCACAGAGCCCACGCCUCUUCACUGGGACUGACAGGCACAGAGCCCACGCCUCUUCACUGGGACUGACAGGCACAGAACCCAUGCCCCUUCAAUGGGACUGACAGGCACAGAGCUCAUGUCCCAUCACUGGAACUGACAGGCACAGAGCCCACGCCUCGUUCACUGGGACUGAGGGGUACAGAGCCCAAGCCUCCUUCACUUGGACUGAGGGGUACAGAGCCCACGCCUCCUUCACUGGGACUGUGGGGUACAGAGCCCAUGCCUCCUUCACUGGGACUGAGGGGUACAGAGCCCACGCAUCCUUCACUGGGACUGAGGGGUACAGAGCCCACGCAUCCUUCACUGGGACUGACAGACACAGAGCCCAUGUCUCUACACUGAGACUGACAGGCACAGAGCCCAUGUCUCUUCACUGGGACUGACAGACACAGAGACCAUGUCUCUUCACUGGGACUGACAGACACAGAGCCCAUGUCUCUUCACUGGGACUGACAGGCACAGAACCCAUGCCCCUUCAAUGGGACUGACAGGCACAGAACCCAUGCCCCUUCAAUGGGACUGACAGGCACAGAGC
Ictalurus punctatus (channel catfish) is the source of this 669-nucleotide long non-coding RNA. The record is from Ensembl. NCBI's taxonomy places the organism in Eukaryota, Metazoa, Chordata, Actinopteri, Siluriformes, Ictaluridae.